Molecule: long non-coding RNA, 1033 nt
Organism: Astatotilapia calliptera (eastern happy)
Lineage: Eukaryota; Metazoa; Chordata; Actinopteri; Cichliformes; Cichlidae
Source: Ensembl
UAAGCAGUGGGGGGUUUUUUGGGGGGGAAGGGGCACAGAUAUAGCCAGAGUAUUAAAGGGGACCUAUUCUGGUAUUUUAUAGUUACAUUUAGUAAUUAUUAAUGGAAUUAUUUCAUAAUUCCUACUUAACUCUGUCCCUCACUUCCUGCUGUGUGUGUGAAACUGCUGGUUUUAGCUCUUGGGACUUUCCCUGAACAUCCAUUUAAUUCUGAUUGGCUACCCCUGUCUUCUACAGACUAACAUUGUGUUUGUAAGCCCCACCUCCUCCUCAAGAAAACUUGGGAGUGUUCAGAGCAGUCUCAAGUCUGAGCUGUGGACUCACACUUACGUAAACAUUGGUCGUGUAAUAGGUCCCCUUUAAGGUGAUGUAAUAAUGAAGGGAGCGGUGCAGUUGGGGUGAAAUGGGACUCUGUUGUUUGAGUGGAUGUGCCAUACUUAGCCUUAGAAAUGAGCUCCACAGGUCGCCACCCCACCUGGCUUCUCCUGCCUCCCCUCCUGAAGCGUUGCCAUAGAAACGCACCCUUUCAGUUUCCGGAUGCCGAUUCCUGCCACAGGAGAGAGAGGGAGCGAGGGAGCGAGAGCCCUCCUCUUCACUGUCGUCCUCGUCUCUCUCGCUCUGUAACGCACCAAAUUCAGAGGGAAAUAAACAUCUGUGCUGUCAGUUGUUGUCGCCGUGUCUGUAAAUUAAUACAUUUUAUUUAUUCCUCUUUUAUAUUUGGAUUCAUGUUUACCUUUUUUUCUUGCUCAUAGCUUUAGGUCACUGUUCUUCUUCCUUGUUCUAUGAUGUUUUUGUUUUUUUUGAUUGAUUUUAAAUUCACACACAGUUGGUUUUUUACUCUUCGUUACAUCAGCGUACACAUGGUCAGCUCCCACUGUUCCUCACCCCGAAUACUCACGCACUUUGGGUUGUUUUGUUUUUUUUCAUAUUCCGAGUACCUGAAUAUAUUUACUGUUUCUCCAUGGCAACUAUAACUUCUUGGAAGUUUAUGUUCACAUGUAACAUAACACAAAAUAAAGACAAAUGGACAAGUGA